This 297-nucleotide signal recognition particle RNA is filed under the name Saimiri boliviensis boliviensis (Bolivian squirrel monkey). RNAcentral's name for it is "Metazoan signal recognition particle RNA (ENSSBOG00000006499.1)". It matches the Rfam family "Metazoan signal recognition particle RNA". Rfam says of the family: The signal recognition particle (SRP) is a universally conserved ribonucleoprotein. It is involved in the co-translational targeting of proteins to membranes. Lineage: Eukaryota; Metazoa; Chordata; Mammalia; Primates; Cebidae. The record is from RNAcentral.
GCUGGGCGUGGUGGCACGUGCCUGUAGUCCCAGCUACUCGGGAGGCUGAGUGGGGAGGAUCACUUGAGCCCAGGAGUUCUGGGCUGUAGUGUGCUAUGCCAAUUAGGUGUCCACACUAAGUUUGGCGUCAAUAUGGUGACCUCCCGGGAGCGGUAACCAACAGGUUGCCGAAGGAGGGUGAACUGGCCCAGGUCAGAAACAGAGCAGGUCAAAACUCCCAUGAUGAUCAGUAGUGGGAUCGCACCUGUGAAUAGCCACUGCACUCCAGCCUGGGCAGCACAGCGAGACCUUGUCUCU